This 406-nucleotide ribosomal RNA is filed under the name uncultured bacterium. Its description in RNAcentral is "partial 16S ribosomal RNA". It matches the Rfam family "Bacterial small subunit ribosomal RNA", at positions 29 to 526 of the family's 1533-position model. The record is from RNAcentral.
AUUGAACGCUGGCGGCAGGCUUAACACAUGCAAGUCGAGCGAGCGGCGGACGGGUGAGUAAUGUCUGGGAAACUGCCUGAUGGAGGGGGAUAACUACUGGAAACGGUAGCUAAUACCGCAUACCAUCAGAUGUGCCCAGAUGGGAUUAGCUAGUAGGUGGGGUAAUGGCUCACCUAGGCGACGAUCCCUAGCUGGUCUGAGAGGAUGACCAGCCACACUGGAACGGAGAGACGGUCAAGAGUCCUAGGGUAGGAAGCAGUGGGGCAUAGGGCAAAAUGGGAGAAAGGGUGAUGGAGCGAUGCCGCGUGUGGGAGUAAGGCCUUCGGGUUUUAAAGCACUUACAGCGAGGAGGCGUUACUCGCAGAAGAAGCACCGGCUAACUCCGUGCCAGCAGCCGCGGUAAUAC